Molecule: long non-coding RNA, 626 nt
Filed under: Marmota monax (woodchuck)
Lineage: Eukaryota; Metazoa; Chordata; Mammalia; Rodentia; Sciuridae
Source: RNAcentral
CAGUGACUUACAGAUAGUGGGUUGCUUGGUUAAAUUUAGUAUUUUAAUCUCACCAUCAAACUCCUUAGACAUCUAAAUUGGAGGAUCUUCCUCUUCACAAGUCCCAUCCUCUGAGGCUCUGGGUCUUUGGGGUACACCAUUGCCAAACUGAUCACUGGUAACUGGUUAUUAGAGUUGUUGGAGUAAGAAACUAAUAUUCAAUUGGUUUUCAGAGUAGAAGAAACAUUAUUACUAGAUUUGUUUUGCACCAAUUUAAGAAAAUAAAUACAAGUAUCAAUUGAGUUGUAUAAAAUGGAAAACAUGUUAUGUCUCACAAAGCAGGGCAUGUCCAGAGCAAUGUGGAACCAGUGGUCACUCUGAGCAUCCACCCCAGCAUUCAAGAGCAAAUUCAUUGCUCUCCUCUGAAGGCUACACAUGCCUGAAGAAACUAGUCCAAAAGAAACAAAUGAAAUCCUGCAUGUGAAUUUAAUUUUAUUUCCACCGUGCUAAUUUCUGACGUUAAAUCUGGAACAACUCUAAGGGAUAUGCAUCUUUAAGUGAUAACAGUAGAUUCUAGAAAUAUCAUUCCUUUGUCAGGAUCCUUUUGAGGUAGAUAACUUUGGAAACACUUUGUGAAGUGAAUAAAU